CAGCAGCCACGGGAAUACAGAGGGUGCGAGCGUUAAUCGGAUUUACUGGGCGUAAAGCGUGCGUAGGCGGCUAAUUGAGUCGGAUGUGAAAUCCCCGAGCUUAACUUGGGAAUUGCAUUCGAUACUGGUUAGCUAGAGUGUGGGAGAGGAUGGUAGAAUUCCAGGUGUAGCGGUGAAAUGCGUAGAGAUCUGGAGGAAUACCGAUGGCGAAGGCAGCCAUCUGGCCUAACACUGACGCUGAGGUACGAAAGCAUGGGGAGCAAACAGGAUUAGAGACCCCAGUAGUCCCUGUCUCUUAUAC
Molecule: ribosomal RNA, 301 nt
Filed under: uncultured bacterium
Lineage: Bacteria
Description: partial 16S ribosomal RNA
Rfam family: Bacterial small subunit ribosomal RNA
Source: RNAcentral